CGCGGGAAGCACGCCCCCUUAACGCGGUGGUUCCGAGAGCUUCCUUCUGGGCGGAAGCGAAUGAGUCAACGCCGCCAAGUGGUUCAGGGAGGGACAGAGAACUCGACUUUUGGCCAGAGCUGCUGCAGAAGGUCUCUCUGCUGGAUCGGGGUGGAUCAUGUUCUGAUGAGAGACACCACCUUGAGUAGUUGGUGAAAUUCUUUGGAGAGCUCCUGAGGAAUGUCUGGAAGAUUCCCCUCACGGAUGUGAUGCCACGCAGCCCCAUUGGACUCCGGAGUGAAGGGAUUAAUAUUGACCAGAGCCAGUGAGGUCAUCGCAUCGGUGAAGGGACCAGGUGUGAGCUUCAGAUGCUUAGAGCUUCGGGAGGGGAGCUUCCCUGUUGAAGAGAUCCCCGACUGGCUCACCUGGCCCUGAAUGAGGAUGAUAAAAGGCAAAUCAGAAUGGAGGAAAUACGUAACUGAAGAUAGAUACAGCCUGUGAAACAGAUCCGUCACACAUACAUAGGACUGGGCCCUCGUUCUCCGUCCGCCGAAGGAACACAGACCUCAGCGGCCUGGCUCCCUCCUCCCCAGCGAUGGACUUACUUUGGGAGUGAAGGGGCUCUCGCAGCGUGGCGGCUUGCCCUUGUCUGGCGGGGCUGGGGUUUCAGGACGUGUGAGAGAGUGUGACACUGGAGUUCUCAGACCCUGACCUGGACUCGCUUGGCCUUUUUCCUGAAAUGUGUUGAGGUCACGUACGUCACUAAGGGGAGUCCUGACAGGUGUAAGCUCUGCCGCCUGAACAGAUCCUGAAUCCUGAGCUCCAGGCUUCUCUGGGGUUUGGCUCUGGGGCUCCUUGCU
Long non-coding RNA from Aethalodelphis obliquidens (Pacific white-sided dolphin), 839 nucleotides. RefSeq lists it as uncharacterized. NCBI's taxonomy places the organism in Eukaryota, Metazoa, Chordata, Mammalia, Artiodactyla, Delphinidae. The transcript is spliced from 5 exons. The record is from RefSeq and is a predicted model, not a curated record.